GGAUGCGAUCAUACCAGCACUAAAGCACCGGAUCCCAUCAGAACUCCGAAGUGAAGCGUGCUUGGGCGAGAGUAGUACUAGGAUGGGUGACCUCCUGGGAAGUCCUCGUGUUCCAUUCC
This 119-nucleotide ribosomal RNA is filed under the name Triticum aestivum (bread wheat). RNAcentral also lists the same sequence under 1 other name. Lineage: Eukaryota; Viridiplantae; Streptophyta; Magnoliopsida; Poales; Poaceae. The record is from RNAcentral.